GAUGAACGCUGGCGGCGUGCCUAAUACAUGCAAGUCGAGCGAACGGACGAGAAGCUUGCUUCCCUGAUGUUAGCGGCGGACGGGUGAGUAACACGUGGAUAACCUACCUAUAAGACUGGGAUAACUUCGGGAAACCGGAGCUAAUACCGGAUAAUAUUUUGAACCGCAAGGUUCAAAAGUGAAAGACGGUCUUGCUGUCACUUAUAGAUGGAUCCGCGCUGCAUUAGCUAGUUGGUAAGGUAACGGCUUACCAAGGCAACGAUGCAUAGCCGACCUGAGAGGGUGAUCGGCCACACUGGAACUGAGACACGGUCCAGACUCCUACGGGAGGCAGCAGUAGGGAAUCUUCCGCAAUGGGCGAAAGCCUGACGGAGCAACGCCGCGUGAGUGAUGAAGGUCUUCGGAUCGUAAAACUCUGUUAUUAGGGAAGAACAUAUGUGUAAGUAACUGUGCACAUCUUGACGGUACCUAAUCAGAAAGCCACGGCUAACUACGUG
Molecule: ribosomal RNA, 497 nt
Filed under: uncultured bacterium
Lineage: Bacteria
Description: partial 16S ribosomal RNA
Rfam family: Bacterial small subunit ribosomal RNA
Source: RNAcentral